RNAcentral lists this long non-coding RNA (770 nucleotides) under Neodiprion lecontei (redheaded pine sawfly). RNAcentral's name for it is "uncharacterized LOC107222937". The record is from RNAcentral. Lineage: Eukaryota; Metazoa; Arthropoda; Insecta; Hymenoptera; Diprionidae.
UGUUUAUAUUUGGUUCACCUUCACUCUGGAUCAUAAUUGUUUCUCCCAUCAGUCGUUAUUCACCAGUUGACCCUAUCGGUUCAACCAAAAAUAAUUUUGUUAGACAUGGAGAACAUAGUCGUAAAGAUCCCGGCUCCACUUCUUGGACAUUGUGCAAACUAAUUUUACUGCUAAAAAGACCUUUAAAACCUUUUAAUACAAUGACAUAUAGACUGUGAAGAUACAUAGUUUUUUAAUCUUUUUAAUUAAUGACUACCAACUUGUAACUCCUACAUGUUAAACAACCAGAGGAGGUGACAACGACUACCGUUACUCAAAGAACAUUGUCUCCACAAAUUGUAAAUUAUGAAUUCGACUGUAUCUGAGUCCGCUUACUAUAAAAAAAAAGAUGCAAGUUUUUGGUGCCAGUUUGAUGUUUUAUUCAAAUACUGCACAUGAGUACAUGAGGACAAAAUUAGCUGUACUGCCCGAUUCAGAGACAGUCCAUAGAUGGUUCAGGAACAUCAAAUUCACGCCAGGCGUCAGUAAGCCUAUGUUACAGAGCAUCAAGAAAACCCAUCAAAAUUUGUAUUUCAAAAUGAUGUGCUAUGAGAUGCACAUCAACAAACAUAUCGAAACUGGUGGCAAAGUCACCUAUGGAUUUGUUGACGUAGGAGCAGGAGGUACGAAUGAUACCAGCGAGACAUCAGCAGCUUUGGUUUAUAUGAUUGUAGCCUUAAAUGGGAAUUUGAAAGCUCCCAUAGCUUUUUAUUUUAUAAACGGAACGGGAG